Molecule: long non-coding RNA, 1557 nt
Organism: Drosophila ananassae
Lineage: Eukaryota; Metazoa; Arthropoda; Insecta; Diptera; Drosophilidae
Exons: 3
Source: RefSeq, a predicted model, not a curated record
UGGCUUUCCAUCAUCAUCAAUCUAUAAAAAUACAAAUAAUCUUUAUAUUAAUUUUUUUCCAAACUCAUCCCAUACUUACAUGAUUUUUCACAUCCAUCUUGGUUUUUUCUUUAAAAAAAAUGGCGCAAAGCCCAUUUAGUGUUGGAAAUAGGCCAACACAUGUGGCUGUUGAGCAUUAACAUUGUGCUGUUAAGCACCUGUUAAGCAUGUACAAAUCUUUACCUUCUACCAUGUAGCAUGGUAGCGAUGCCUUACCGCACCCUUAAGCUGAGCGCCUUGGAGUUGGCUCAGCUACUAGAGUUCCAGGAAAUUGAUCUGUGCAAACCACCAGUACUGACUCGCAUUCUGUCCGUGAUGGUGAAACACAAGGCGUUGGCAAAUGAAGCAGCUUCAGUAAGCAGUGACCUUAAGCAACUGAUUCUACUGUACGCCUCCAGAUAGGAGGCAGCACUAGCUCAUGGUGCCAGCAACCGACGCAACCGAGGAUCGCGCAUCUCAGCAGCUGCUGAUUUUAGGCAAAAGAAGCUGAUGCGCAUAGGAUCAAUCUCCAGUUGGGCUGAAUUCUCUGGCUCUUAGCGCUCCGUCAACUCGGAAUCCCACAUUGGUAGCAGUGAUUCGAACUAUUCUUCAUCCCACUACAAUGGCGCUCAAGGGGACGUGGCUUGCGGAUCAGCAACAUUGUGCAGGCCCAGAUCGAACAACUCUUCACGGCCCACAGUGGGCGAUUUGGUCCCGCUAGCGGCAUUUAAUUAAUAACUUCUAAACUAAAAUAGAUUUUUCAGUCGGUUUUUUUCACUGAUCAGAAACAAAUCAUAGAAUUUUUUAAGUUAACAAAUUUUUUUUUUUAAUUUUUUUUUAUUUUUUUUUUUUAAUUAAAAAUUUUUUUUUUAAAAUUAAAAUUUUUUUUAAAUUUUAUUUUAUUUAAACUUCAAUUAACAUAUUUCAUAAAUAAACUUUAUCUAAAAAAGGCCAUAAAUAAACUUUGUUCCUGGCUUCAAGAGCUUCCUCGGGCAUCAUACCAAUUGGAAGGCAAAAAUGGCUUAUAAUAUCUGCUCCAUGAAUUAAAAUUCUGUGAACAGAAGAUGGCAUAUAAAACCAGGAAUAUGAUUUUACAAACAAUUCGGCAGUUUGCAAUGCGUAAGACCGGAAUGCGACCGAAUUUAUUUCGUGGCAGCAUGCUAGUGUUCGUAAGACCUCACUGAAUCGAUGUAUUAAAUUAUAGCUUACUCCUGUUAUACGAGCAGCCAAAUUUGGUUGUUUGAAAAACCUCCUUGCAGUGUUUUUGUUAUUCGUACUGCCAGCAGUAGCAAUUGGUAUAUCUACCAGCAAAUGAAUCUCUUCCCUCAGCUUCUGCUGAAUAAUUCUUUUAUUUUCAUCGACAACAUCUUUGUCAACACCACGAGCUUGCCACUUUUGAAUCGGAAUUCUAUAUGCAAUGUGCAAAACACAGUCGAAAAACCUAAUCCAGGCGUGAAGACUUGAUAACCCAUAUUCAAAGAGGUUUUCAUUAAUAGACAAGCUCUUCACCAAAUUCAGAUCGUUCAUAUUCUUAGGAGU